CAAUAGCGUAUAUUUAAGUUGUUGCAGUUAAAAAGCUCGUAGUUGGAUUUCGGUUAAGAGCGACCGGUCCGCCGUUUGGUGUGCACUGGUUGGUUUUAACUUCCUGUAGAGGACGUGCUCUGGGUUUAACGACCUGGACUCGGAGUCUACGUGGUUACUUUGAAAAAAUUAGAGUGUUCAAAGCGGGCUUACGCUUGAAUAUUUCAGCAUGGAAUAACACUAUAGGACUCCUGUCCUAUUUCGUUGGUCUCGGGACGGGAGUAAUGAUUAAGAGGAACAGUUGGGGGCAUUCGUAUUUCAUUGUCAGAGGUGAAAUUCUUGGAUUUGUUAAGGACGGACUACUGCGAAAGCAUCUGCCAUGGAUGUUUUCAUUGA
RNAcentral lists this ribosomal RNA (375 nucleotides) under uncultured eukaryote. RNAcentral's name for it is "partial 18S ribosomal RNA". It matches the Rfam family "Eukaryotic small subunit ribosomal RNA", at positions 592 to 976 of the family's 1831-position model. The record is from RNAcentral.